AAAACCCAGGCGUGGUGGCUCACACCUGUAACCCUAGCACUUUGGGAGGCUGAGGCAAGUGGAUCACCUAAGGUCAGGAGUUUGAGACCAGCCUGGCCAACAUGGUGGAACACUGACUCUACUAAAAAUACAAAAAUUAGCCAGGCAUGGUGGUGGGCACCUGUAGUCUCAACUACUCGGGAGGCUGAGGCAGGAGACUUGCUUGAACCCAGGAGGUAGAGGUUGCAGUGAGCUGAGAUUGCGUCGCUGCAUUCCAGCCUGGGCGACAGAACAAGACUCCAUAUCAAAAAAAAAAAAAAAAAAAGCCUCUGUGGCCUUGGGGCUGGACCAGCUCAAUGAAGUAGGGGGCUCCCUCUGCCAGGCUGCCUGAGCUUGAGGCCCCAGGGCUCAGUCAGGCCGAUCUUGCCUCUUUACCCGCUACUGGGGAAGGUGCAGGAAGCGGAUUUCCUAAGAAACACCUGGGCAAUGGCCUUCUAGACUUGUCUACUUCUGACCUCAAGUCAAGGAAGAGAAGAUUGGUUAAAAUGACUUUCUACCAUGCUAUUUUCUUUGUCAGUUCCUGCAGAGCCUCCAACAAGGUGUGUGGGCAUCCUCUGUCCUUCAGCAUCAGUCACCCAAGCUGGGAACCCCAGAGGAGGAAGCACCUGUUUUUGCCCUAACUUAGGGAAGGGCUUUGGAUUCUCCGCCAUUCAGAAUGAGUCACUGUGAGACUGCGGAGCGGAUUUUACUCAUCCCCCAGGAAUGGACCCUUGGAAGGCUCCAGAAUGACUAGCCUCAAGUGUUCUGUCUCAGGCACGGGGCAUUUUCCCCCACUCCACGUCUGCAGUCACUUCCUCUCUGGACACAUCCUGUUUCUGGGAGCAGGCGGCAUGCCAAGCAGAUUGCAGCCUCUGAGCAGACGGGCGGAGACAUCCUUCCUCUUAUUUCUAGUACCUAAUCCCAUCUUCCUUCCCAGUCAGAGAUAUCGAUCAGCAUCUCUGCUUUUCCCAGGUCCCUGCACGCCAGGGAGGGAGAGUAGAGAAGGAACAUGUUUCUAUUGGCAACUCCAACUUAUUGGAAGUGCUUAGAAACCUCUGCUGAUUUCUCACCAGCUUCUGAAGCACAGCUCGAAGUGGAAGCCAGAGAUGUUAAACACAGUGUCCCUUGUUCAGUUGGGAGAAAAGAGGCAUGAGCACUUCUCCGUGUCUUGGCCCAAGGGCACACACCGUGAGUCAGCGAUGUCUCCCAGAAGGGGUCUGGAGUCCCAUCCACAGGGUCCUGUGAUGUUGCCCUGAUUGGUCUCGAACUUGUGGCAUCAACUGGUCCUCCUGCCUCACCUGCCAAAGUGCUGGGAUUACAGGCGUGAGCCACCAUGCCUGGCCUUCAGUUCACCAUUUAUUUAUCUACUGGAAAAGACCUGGGCCAGAUGCAGUGAAGGGUAGAAGUCCAAAAUCAAGGUGAUGAAAUCAUCCAAUCAAUCACCCAAUCACAGAAGCUAGGGUCACAUUUCCUACCUGUGUCUCUGCAGAUCUGGGCUCCCCCAUGCCAGUUGCCUUCUGCCUUCUCAGGGUGGUAAGAAGGUAGUCCCUACACGCAUCUCUUCCUGAGGAAAUCUGCCCUCGUCUGUAGCUCUAAUACAGCGUCCCAGGCUCCAUCCCUGGAGAUGCUGAUUCUGUAGGUUGGGGUGGGGCCCAUGAAUGUACAUUUCUAAUGCUACUGGUGCAGAGAACCCACCUUGAGAACCACUGCCUUACAGCAGGUAUAAGCCCAGGUAGCUGUGUUUGUACUAAGGGAGCUUGGCCUCCACUGACGGAGCCAAACGUGUGUGGCUGACCAAAAAGCCAAUGAAAUUUUCUCUCCUUAAAACAUGAGAUGGGGACACUGGGAGAUUGAACUAGACACGA
This 1883-nucleotide long non-coding RNA is filed under the name Homo sapiens (human). Its description in RNAcentral is "HSALNT0243866". The record is from RNAcentral. Lineage: Eukaryota; Metazoa; Chordata; Mammalia; Primates; Hominidae.